This 30-nucleotide non-coding RNA is filed under the name Rattus norvegicus (Norway rat). The record is from RNAcentral. Lineage: Eukaryota; Metazoa; Chordata; Mammalia; Rodentia; Muridae.
UAACUGUGUUGUUACUCCCUCGCUGAUGGU